RNAcentral lists this unclassified non-coding RNA (378 nucleotides) under uncultured bacterium. RNAcentral describes it as "contains 16S-23S intergenic spacer region". The record is from RNAcentral.
UCCGGCUUAGCGCCGGCAGUCUCUCUAGAGUCCCCACCAUCACGUGCUGGCAACUAGAAACGGGGGUUGCGCUCGUUGCGGGACUUAACCCAACACCUCACGGCACGAGCUGACGCCAGCCAUGCAGCAUCUGUGCAGGUGCCCCGAAGGGAGACCGUGUUUCCACGGCUGUCACCUGCAUGUCAAGCCCAGGUAAGGUUCUUCGCGUUGCUUCGAAUUAAACCACAUGCUCCACCGCUUGUGCGGGCCCCCGUCAAUUCCUUUGAGUUUCAGCCUUGCGGCCGUACUCCCCAGGCGAGGCACUUAAUGCGUUAGCGUCGGCACCCGGAGGGUCGCUCCCCCGGGCACCUAGUGCCCAUCGUUUACGGCGUGGACUAC